Molecule: ribosomal RNA, 980 nt
Filed under: Lactobacillus johnsonii
Lineage: Bacteria; Bacillati; Bacillota; Bacilli; Lactobacillales; Lactobacillaceae
Description: bacterial SSU rRNA
Rfam family: Bacterial small subunit ribosomal RNA
Source: RNAcentral
GCCGGGGCGGCGUGCCUAAUAAUGCAAGUCGAGCGAGCUUGCCUAGAUGAUUUUAGUGCUUGCACUAAAUGAAACUAGAUACAAGCGAGCGGCGGACGGGUGAGUAACACGUGGGUAACCUGCCCAAGAGACUGGGAUAACACCUGGAAACAGAUGCUAAUACCGGAUAACAACACUAGACGCAUGUCUAGAGUUUGAAAGAUGGUUCUGCUAUCACUCUUGGAUGGACCUGCGGUGCAUUAGCUAGUUGGUAAGGUAAUGGCUUACCAAGGCGAUGAUGCAUAGCCGAGUUGAGAGACUGAUCGGCCACAUUGGGACUGAGACACGGCCCAAACUCCUACGGGAGGCAGCAGUAGGGAAUCUUCCACAAUGGACGAAAGUCUGAUGGAGCAACGCCGCGUGAGUGAAGAAGGGUUUCGGCUCGUAAAGCUCUGUUGGUAGUGAAGAAAGAUAGAGGUAGUAACUGGCCUUUAUUUGACGGUAAUUACUUAGAAAGUCACGGCUAACUACGUGCCAGCAGCCGCGGUAAUACGUAGGUGGCAAGCGUUGUCCGGAUUUAUUGGGCGUAAAGCGAGUGCAGGCGGUUCAAUAAGUCUGAUGUGAAAGCCUUCGGCUCAACCGGAGAAUUGCAUCAGAAACUGUUGAACUUGAGUGCAGAAGAGGAGAGUGGAACUCCAUGUGUAGCGGUGGAAUGCGUAGAUAUAUGGAAGAACACCAGUGGCGAAGGCGGCUCUCUGGUCUGCAACUGACGCUGAGGCUCGAAAGCAUGGGUAGCGAACAGGAUUAGAUACCCUGGGUAGUCCAUGCCGUAAACGAUGAGUGCUAAGUGUUGGGAGGUUUCCGCCUCUCAGUGCUGCAGCUAACGCAUUAAGCACUCCGCCUGGGGGAGUACGACCGCAGGUUGAAACUCAAAGGAAUUGACGGGGGCCCGCACAAGCGGUGGGAGCAUGUGGUUUAAUUCGAAGCAACGCGGAAGAACC